UUGUCUCUGUUCCUGGAGUGUAGGCAGAGCGCUCUAGCUCAGUCAAGGCAAGGUAAUUGUCCACCCGGACCGUCCUGAACCAAGCUGAGAGAAACAACAAACCGGCACUCGGAUCGUCCUUGCUGACCUCCAAAUUCUACACCCUGAGAUAUCCUGUUCCUGGCCUGGCCGCAGAAGACUGACCGUACCUGGGACCGUACCGACAACCCCGAAGCCGAGCACCACAUCGGAUCCCUGGGUAACUCUGUUGGUGGCAGGUCUACUUAACGGGACCCACAUCCAUCUGGCUCACCGGAGUACAAGAAGAAUUGGUCUCAGAUCUCCAAGUAGAUGAGUAAUUUCCCCCAGAAUCGACAGCCUUUCCCUUCACUCCAUGCCCAAAUAAUAAGAGCUCUGUCUGAGACCCCCAUCUUCUUCAAACAUCAUCUUCUUCGAUUUCUCUGGGAUGCAUACUUACAGGGGGAUUUUGACUUCUCUUGGGAGGAGAUACAUCAUGCUCUAGACCCUGAUCAACUAAGUAGUCUCCCCUUCGAUUACA
Microcebus murinus (gray mouse lemur) is the source of this 538-nucleotide non-coding RNA. NCBI's taxonomy places the organism in Eukaryota, Metazoa, Chordata, Mammalia, Primates, Cheirogaleidae. The record is from RefSeq and is a predicted model, not a curated record.